This 1440-nucleotide ribosomal RNA is filed under the name uncultured Bordetella sp. RNAcentral's name for it is "partial 16S-23S ribosomal RNA intergenic spacer". It matches the Rfam family "Bacterial small subunit ribosomal RNA". Lineage: Bacteria; Pseudomonadati; Pseudomonadota; Betaproteobacteria; Burkholderiales; Alcaligenaceae. The record is from RNAcentral.
UUCGAUCCUGGCUCAGAUUGAACGCUGGCGGGAUCUUUUACGCUGCAGUCGAACGGCAGCACGGACUUCGGUCUGGUGGCGAGUGGCGAACGGGUGAGUAAUGUGGCGGAACGUGCCUAGUAGCAGGGAUAACUACGCGAAAGCGUAGCUAAUACCACAUACGCGCUCGAGGAAAAAGCAGGGGACCUUCGGGCCUCGCACUAUUAAGAGCGGCCGAUAUCGGAUUGGCUAGUUGGUGGGGUAACGGCUCACCAAGGCGACUGAUCCGUAGCUGGUUUGAGGACGAUAAACUGCCGGACUGACCGGCUGGGCUCUACGGGAGGCAGCAGUGGGGAAUUUUGGACGAGGGGAAACCUGAUCCAGCCAUCCCGCGUGUGCGAUGAAGGCCUUCGGGUUGUAAACGCUUUGGCAGAAGAAACGGCACGGGAUAAUACAUUACGCUGGCCAGUACCUGCGAAUAGCCUCGGCUAACUACGUGCCAGCAGCCGCGGUAAUACGUAGGGUGCACAGCGUUAAUCGGAAUUACUGGGCGUAAAGCGUGCGCAGGCGGUUCGGAAAGAAGAUGUGAAAUCCAGAGCUUAACUUUGGAACUGCAUUUUAACUACCGAGCUGAGUUGUGUCCGAGGAGGUGGAGUCGUGGCAGCAGUGAAAUGCGUAGAUAUGCGGAGGAACACCGAUGAAAGGCAGCCUCCUGGGAUAACACUGACGCUCAUGCACGAAAGCGAUGGGAGCAAACAGGAUUAGAUACCCUGGUAGUCCACGCCCUAAACUUGAUGUCAACUGGCUUGUUGGGCCUUCGGGCCGCGGUAGCGCAGCUAACGCGUGAAGUUGACCGCCUGGGAAAUACGGUCGCAAGAUUAAAACUCAAAGGAAUUGACGGGGACCCGCAAGCGGUGGAUGAUGUGGAUUAAUUCGAUGCAACGCCGAAAAAACCUUACCUACCCAUGACGUGUCUAGGUCGAAGAGAUUUGGGAGUGCUCGCAGAGAACCGGAACACAGGUGCUGCAUGGCUGUCGUCAGCUCGUGUCGUGAGAUGUUGGGUUAAGUCCGCAACGAGCGCAACCCUUGUCAUUGGAUUGCUAAGGAGCAUAAUGAGACUGCCGAUGAUAAACCGGAAGGAAAGGUAAAGGGAUCAGUCCUCAUGGCCCUUAUGGGUAGGGCUUCACGUCAUACAAUGGUCGGGACAGAGGUCGCCAACCCGCGAGGGAGCCAAUCCCAGAAACCCGAUCGUAGUCCGGAUCGCAGUCUGCAACUCGACUGCGUGAAGAGUCCGGAAUCGCUAGUAAUCGCGGAUCAGCAUGUCGCGGUGAAUACGUUCGGUCUUGUACACACCGCCCGUCACACCAUGGGAGUGGGUUUACCAGAAGUAGUUAGCCUAACCGUAAGGAGGGCGAUUACCACGGUAGGAUUCAUGACUGGGGUGAAGUCGUAACAAGGUAG